UUGUUAAAUUACUAUUAAUAUGAAUUAAAGCUUAAAUUUGGGUGGUAAUUGCAUAGGGG
RNAcentral lists this microRNA precursor (59 nucleotides) under Ciona intestinalis (vase tunicate). Its description in RNAcentral is "microRNA cin-mir-4137 precursor". The record is from miRBase by way of RNAcentral. Lineage: Eukaryota; Metazoa; Chordata; Ascidiacea; Phlebobranchia; Cionidae.